Molecule: ribosomal RNA, 789 nt
Filed under: Affecauda annulata
Lineage: Eukaryota; Metazoa; Platyhelminthes; Trematoda; Opisthorchiida; Gyliauchenidae
Description: eukaryotic LSU rRNA
Rfam family: Eukaryotic large subunit ribosomal RNA
Source: RNAcentral
AGGUCGUUCCGCGGAGGCACUGCGCCACUCCAAGUCCAUUCAUGAGUACGGUUGUACAGACUUGGCCCACAGAGGGUGAAAGGCCCGUGGGGGUGGUGUUCCAGAUAUGUCAAGUGUCUCUCUGGUAAAGACCUUGGAGUCGGGUUGUUUGUGAAUGCCACCCAAAGUGGGUGGUAAACUCCAUCCAAGGCUAAAUACUUGCACGAGUCCGAUAGCGAACAAGUACCGUGAGGGAAAGUUGAAAAGUACUUUGAAGAGAGAGUAAACAGUGCGUGAAACCGCUCAGAGGUAAACGGGUGGAGUUGAACUGCGAGCCCAGAGAAUUCAGCUGGUGAGUGUGGUCUGAGCUUGUUCAGGUUGGCUGUACACUGGAGUCUGCGAAGUAGCGGGUCUCCUCCUUCGGGUGGAGAUGUGCGAUACACCUUGAGAAGUGUUGCGCGCUUCAGUUGUAUACGGGCCUGCUUGCCAGUGCAUUUUCUCUGGGUGUUCACCACGACCGGCACUGCUGUCUGGCUGUUGUGGUUAAACCGUUCUUGCUUAGUCCUUGUGGCUUUGCUUGGUCGGGACGGCAGGUAACUUGUUGGCUAGUCUUUUGACCUGCCUUCGGGUGUAAUCAGCUGACCAUAAUGGUUCUGUGCAGUGUGUCGGAGACGGCGGCUUGUGGUGUGAGCGCGCGUGCCUUGUCUACUGACUUGGUUGGGUCUGGUUGCUCUGUUGCUUGUUCUCAAGCCUAGCGAUGGCCUGACUUUGUUUGGUGGGCGGUUGCGUGUGUGACACUAUCCAGGGCCA